AUGUACUCACUCUGUACACUCCGGUUCCUGCGCACUGGUUCGAUCAAUACGGUACGCACCCGGCUGAAGGCUGCUCGCGACGUUUUUCAACA
Molecule: small RNA, 92 nt
Filed under: Betaproteobacteria bacterium
Lineage: Bacteria; Pseudomonadati; Pseudomonadota; Betaproteobacteria
Description: sX9 sRNA
Rfam family: Xanthomonas sRNA sX9
Source: RNAcentral